AUUUUCACCAACCUUUGGUCAUGUCAAUAUUUUUAAUUUUAUCUGUUUGACUGGGUGUGUAGUUGUGGCAUUGUGAUUUAAUUUGCAUAUUUUUGGUGGCUAGGCUAAAGAUAUUGAGCAAUUUGCCUUUGAUUCUUGUCGCUGCUCUGAACCGUAUGUGUCCACAGUCAAACGGGAAUGCAGAUCCAGCCCUUCAACAAUCAUGAACACAGCUGCAGGAUUCAUGCCUUCUUGUCAGCCCUAUGCCAAAGGUCCCCAGUACUAAGAAAUGUCAGAUGAUGGGAAAAGAACAAGUCACUGACACAGGCCAGUGGUAAAGUCUUGAGGAACGCAGGAAAAGGAGUUGAUGUGAGAGGCAUAUCAUGAGGCGGGUUUGGAGCUCACAUAAAACCGGGUAAGAAACAGUUGCGCGCUCUGCAGCACUGCUUCCUACAGGCUAUGGAGACAGUGGGCAUCCUGUCACGGG
RNAcentral lists this long non-coding RNA (466 nucleotides) under Fukomys damarensis (Damara mole-rat). RNAcentral's name for it is "lncRNA (ENSFDAG00000032651.1)". The record is from RNAcentral. Lineage: Eukaryota; Metazoa; Chordata; Mammalia; Rodentia; Bathyergidae.